UACAGAGGUCCCAAGCGUUGUUCGGAUUCACUGGGCGUAAAGGGUGCGUAGGUGGCGGAACAAGUCGGAUGUGAAAUCUCCAGGCUUAACCUGGAAACUGCAUUGGAAACUGUUUCGCUCGAGGGUUUGAGGGGGGACUGGAAUACUUGGUGUAGCAGUGAAAUGCGUAGAUAUCAAGUGGAACACCAGUGGCGAAGGCGAGUCCCUGGAAAAUACCUGACACUGAGGCACGAAAGCUAGGGGAGCAAACAGG
RNAcentral lists this ribosomal RNA (253 nucleotides) under uncultured bacterium. Its description in RNAcentral is "partial 16S ribosomal RNA". It matches the Rfam family "Bacterial small subunit ribosomal RNA", at positions 524 to 776 of the family's 1533-position model. The record is from RNAcentral.